Molecule: non-coding RNA, 48 nt
Filed under: Schistosoma margrebowiei
Lineage: Eukaryota; Metazoa; Platyhelminthes; Trematoda; Strigeidida; Schistosomatidae
Source: RNAcentral
AUCCAGCUGAUGAGUCCAAAAUAGGACGAAACGUGCAUCAAACUGGAU